GACGAACGCUGGCGGCGUGCCUAACACAUGCAAGUCGAACGAAGUGGCGAACGGGUGAGUAACGCGUAAUCAACCUGCCCUUCAGAGGGGGACAACAGUUGGACACGACUGCUAAUACCGCAUACUGAAGGAGGGGAUUGCGUGUGAUUAGCUAGUUGGGGGGGUAACGGCCCACCAAGGCGAUGAUCAGUAGCCGGUCUGAGAGGGUGAACGGCAAAAUUGGGACUGAGACACGGUCCAGACUCCUACGGGAGGCAGCAGUGGGGAAUAUUGGACAAUGGGCGAAAGCCUGAUCCAGCCAUGCCGCGUGUGUGAAGAAGGUCUUCGGAUUGUAAAGCACUUUAAGUUGGGAGGCGUUACCAACAGAAUAAGCACCGGCUAACUACGUGCCAGCAGCCGCGGUAAUUC
Molecule: ribosomal RNA, 408 nt
Filed under: uncultured bacterium
Lineage: Bacteria
Description: partial 16S ribosomal RNA
Rfam family: Bacterial small subunit ribosomal RNA
Source: RNAcentral